AGAGUUUGAUCCUGGCUCAGGAUGAACGCUGGCGGCGUGCCUAAUACAUGCAAGUCGAGCGAAUGGAUUAAGAGCUUGCUCUUAUGAAGUUAGCGGCGGACGGGUGAGUAACACGUGGGUAACGUGCCCAUAAGACUGGGAUAACUCCGGGAAACCGGGGCUAAUACCGGAUAAUAUUUUGAACUGCAUGGUUCAAAAUUGAAAGGCGGCUUCGGCUGUCACUUAUGGAUGGACCCGCGUCGCAUUAGCUAGUUGGUGAGGUAACGGCUCACCAAGGCAACGAUGCGUAGCGACCUGAGAGGGUGAUCGGCCACACUGGGACUGAGACACGGCCCAGACUCCUACGGGAGGCAGCAGUAGGGAAUCUUCCGCAAUGGACGAAAGUCUGACGGAGCAACGCCGCGUGAGUGAUGAAGGCUUUCGGGUCGUAAAACUUUGUUGUUAGGGAAGAACAAGUGCUAGUUGAAUAAGCUGGCACCUUGACGGUACCUAACCAGAAAGCCACGGCUAACUACGUGCCAGCAGCCGCGGUAAUACGUAGGUGGCAAGCGUUAUCCGGAAUUAUUGGGCGUAAAGCGCGCGCAGGUGGUUUCUUAAGUCUGAUGUGAAAGCCCACGGCUCAACCGUGGAGGGUCAUUGGAAACUGGGAGACUUGAGUGCAGAAGAGGAAAGUGGAAUUCCAUGUGUAGCGGUGAAAUGCGUAGAGAUAUGGAGGAACACCAGUGGCGAAGGCGACUUUCUGGUCUGUAACUGACACUGAGGCGCGAAAGCGGGGGGAGCAAACAGGCUUAGAUACCCUGGUAGUCCACGCCGUAAACGAUGAGUGCUAAGUGUUAGAGGGUUUCCGCCCUUUAGUGCUGAAGUUAACGCAUUAAGCACUCCGCCUGGGGAGUACGGCCGCAAGGCUGAAACUCAAAGGAAUUGACGGGGGCCCGCACAAGCGAUGGAGCAUGUGGUUUAAUUCGAAGCAACGCGAAGAACCUUACCAGGUCUUGACAUCCUCUGAAAACCCUAGAGAUAGGGCUUCCUCUUCGGGAGCAGAGUGACAGGUGGUGCAUGGUUGUCGUCAGCUCGUGUCGUGAGAUGUUGGGUUAAGUCCCGCAACGAGCGCAACCCUUGAUCUUAGUUGCCAUCAUUAAGUUGGGCACUCUAAGGUGACUGCCGGUGACAAACCGGAGGAAGGUGGGGAUGACGUCAAAUCAUCAUGCCCCUUAUGACCUGGGCUACACACGUGCUACAAUGGACGGUACAAAGAGCUGCAAGACCGCGAGGUGGAGCUAAUCUCAUAAAACCGUUCUCAGUUCUUAUUGUAGGCUGCAACUCGCCUACAUGAAGCUGGAAUCGCUAGUAAUCGCGGAUCAGCAUGCCGCGGUGAAUACGUUCCCGGGCCUUGUACACACCGCCCGUCACACCACGAGAGUUUGUAACACCCGAAGUCGGUGGGGUAACCUUUUUGGAGCCAGCCGCCUAAGGUGGGACAGAUGAUUGGGGUGAAGUCGUAACAAGUAGCCAAUCACUAGUGAAUUCGCGGCCGCUGCAGGUCGACCAUAUGGAGAGCUCCCA
RNAcentral lists this ribosomal RNA (1563 nucleotides) under Bacillus sp. KPU 0013. RNAcentral's name for it is "16S ribosomal RNA". It matches the Rfam family "Bacterial small subunit ribosomal RNA". The record is from RNAcentral. Lineage: Bacteria; Bacillati; Bacillota; Bacilli; Caryophanales; Bacillaceae.